GACGAACGCUGGCGGCGCGCCUAACACAUGCAAGUCGAACGGAGCUUAGAGAGCUUGCUUUUUAAGCUUAGUGGCGAACGGGUGAGUAACGCGUGAGUAACCUGCCCUAGAGUGGGGGGACAACAGUUGGAAACGACUGCUAAUACCGCAUAAGCCCACGGUAUCGCAUGAUACUGAGGGAAAAGGAUUUAUUCGCUUUAGGAUGGACUCGCGUCCAAUUAGCUAGUUGGUGAGGUAACGGCCCACCAAGGCGACGAUUGGUAGCCGGACUGAGAGGUUGAACGGCCACAUUGGGACUGAGACACGGCCCAGACUCCUACGGGAGGCAGCAGUGGGGGAUAUUGCACAAUGGGGGAAACCCUGAUGCAGCGACGCCGCGUGGAGGAAGAAGGUUUUCGGAUUGUAAACUCCUGUCGUUAGGGACGAUAAUGACGGUAC
Molecule: ribosomal RNA, 438 nt
Filed under: uncultured bacterium
Lineage: Bacteria
Description: bacterial SSU rRNA
Rfam family: Bacterial small subunit ribosomal RNA
Source: RNAcentral